Eurytemora carolleeae is the source of this 93-nucleotide long non-coding RNA. RefSeq lists it as uncharacterized. The transcript has 2 exons. Lineage: Eukaryota; Metazoa; Arthropoda; Copepoda; Calanoida; Temoridae. The record is from RefSeq and is a predicted model, not a curated record.
UACAGUCCCUUUAAGCAUGGGAGUUAAAAUUUAGAGCAAAAAGGUGGUGGCGGGGAAAAUUCCUUCAGUUAUGAAUUUUUAUUAUGUAAAAAA